RNAcentral lists this ribosomal RNA (497 nucleotides) under uncultured bacterium. RNAcentral describes it as "partial 16S ribosomal RNA". It matches the Rfam family "Bacterial small subunit ribosomal RNA", at positions 28 to 507 of the family's 1533-position model. The record is from RNAcentral.
GAUGAACGCUGGCGGCGUGCCUAAUACAUGCAAGUCGAGCGAACAGACGAGGAGCUUGCUCCUCUGACGUUAGCGGCGGACGGGUGAGUAACACGUGGAUAACCUACCUAUCAGACUGGGAUAACUUCGGGAAACCGGAGCUAAUACCGGAUAAUAUAUUGAACCGCAUGGUUCAAUAGUGAAAGACGGCUUUGCGGUCACGUAUAGAUGGAUCCGCGCCGCAUUAGCUAGUUGGUAAGGUAACGGCUUACCAAGGCAACGAUGCGUAGCCGACCUGUGAGGGUGAUCGGCCACACUGGAACUGAGACACGGUCCAGACUCCUACGGGAGGCAGCAGUAGGGAAUCUUCCGCAAUGGGCGAAAGCCUUACGGAGCAACGCCGCGUGAGUGAUGAAGGUCUUCGGAUCGUAAAACUCUGUUAUUAGGGAAGAACAAAUGUGUAAGUAACUAUGCACGUCUUGACGGUACCUAAUCAGAAAGCCACGGCUAACUACGUG